UUCACACUUGGCUGCCUACACUCCUGCUCUAAGAAGCCUGUUUCAAAGAAGCCCACAUUCCCUUGUUGCACGUAGAAGGCUGCAGUUGGAGACGGGACAACUAGGUUCUGGGAAGCCAUGGCAGAAAUCACGCAGACUCUGAUUCCCGCCGAGAACCAGCCUAAAGAACCACUCAUGGCAAGACGGGGGCCCACCGGCCUGCUGGCUCCUCACCAAACUCUACUCCGCAUUGACUGUGGGCUCUUGUUCUAGAGGCACCCGCAUCCUCAGGAUGAAAUCCUCUGAUUCAACAGAAAUCUGGAAGUGUUCACAGCUUGGCCCGGAGAAGAUCGUUUUAAAUCUACAGCUUUAAAAUGUGGUUGAAAAGGAGCCCAGGUUGGAUUCUGCCAGCAGGUCCGCUGGCCGCUGUUACCUCCCCACUGUCAACGCCUAGGUCUCUGCCUCCAGCCCUGUUUCAGCCUGUCCUUGAGGAUUUGCUUCACCUCAUUUACUGAGCUUGCCACAGAUUCAUUACCUGGCAUCAGAGCUCCCCUCUCACUGAGCCUGCCCAGAGGGGUGCCAGUAUACUAGCCAGAUGCCGCUGGAGGGACUCCACAAUAAAGCCUGGCUAUUAAAGACUUCAACAGUCUCAUAAAGUCACUUUGCCAGCUGUAGAGCACACAAGUGCCCACAGAUCCAAGCCUCCUUCCUUCCCCAAAGAAACACCUUGGAUAAAGUCUUGGAAUAUCAUCCAUUAGCACAUGGCUCCAGCCAACACAUGAAUUCCCUUACACCAGCACAUGGUCUCUCUUUCCUGUUCAUUCACUUUGGAAGACAGUCCUUGAAAUGACAAGGCCUGGAGUGUCUUGUACAACCACCGCCAAUCCGGUUUCCAGCAGAGGCUUGUGGGCUAGGGAGUGUAUCGAUUUGUAUUGUUAAAGGAAUUUCCUGCUCCUCUCAGUGUCAGCUGAAGAGCCCUCUGCAGUCAUUCUCCUAUUUUGAGAGAAGAGAAACAAGAGGAGACGAACUCCUGGUUCCUUCCUACGGGGUGUAUAGACCAGUGACAAUGUUAGUCCUACAAUUUGGAUUUAUUUGUUUGUUUUCUAAUCACCGCCACUUCUCCAAGUACAAAGUCUGUGUCUAUAAUUAGAUAUCUUCUACAUGUUACACCGGCAAGUCCAUCUCAUCAUUUUACAGAGGGAUGGUGACUUCCUUUAGCGCCCCAUACUGACCGCGGUCCCUCACCUGCUGACUGAUUGACUUAUAAAUCUGCCCCCCACCCACUUGUCUGUCCAUUGAAGGCAAAUUCGCCAUCGGGAACACAGUAGUUUCUCAAUAACUAUCUAAUGCAUGGCCACCCUUCCCAGGAUUUAGAAUAUCAAAGGGACGUGUUCUUUCCUCCCAAAUCACCUGCCUGCGCUUCCCCCAGCCGGGUGCCCCAGCCUUCACCUCGGUCCGGCCACCACCUCAUCCCGCUUCUUCGCGGCUUCCAGGCCUCGGGCUGGGAUCUCAGCCCCUGCCUGUAGGUGCGGCCCAGAGGGUGCGACACGCGUCGGAGCGGGGCAGCGGAGGAGGGGACAGGGACGCGGCAGCCACACCCGCAUCUCUUUCCCCUCUCGGGCAUCCCCGAGGGCCCUUCUGCCUCCAGUUCCUUGAGCCCCCGAAGCCCCCCAUGCGGCAAGAGCGAGUCGCAGGAACAAGUGGGGAAUCUUGGCCGCGGCCCCCUCCCCCGCCUUAUAAAAAAGAAAUUGACUUUUGUUUGGAGUUUGUGAAAAGUGGGGCUCGGGGCCCAGUCAAUGGGGCGCCCCGCGGCGCGGGCUGAGUGGAGCUAGCGCGAACCGCUCAGCCGCGGCCCCAAUUAAUCCGCCCUUUGUGCGGCCCGCCCGGCCGCCCCCGCCGCAGCCGCACCAGCGGCCCAUUGUUCGGCCUCGCCGGGCCGCGGGAUUUACCCUUUUCAAACAGCCGGUUUUGUC
RNAcentral lists this long non-coding RNA (1952 nucleotides) under Homo sapiens (human). RNAcentral's name for it is "OSTM1 antisense RNA 1". The record is from RNAcentral. Lineage: Eukaryota; Metazoa; Chordata; Mammalia; Primates; Hominidae.